UGCGUAGGUUGUUCGGUAAGUCAGCGGUGAAACCUGAGCGCUCAACGUUCAGCCUGCCGUUGAAACUGCCGGGCUUGAGUUCAGUGGCGGCAGGCGGAAUUCGUGGUGUAGCGGUGAAAUGCAUAGAUAUCACGAGGAACUCCGAUUGCGAAGGCAGCUUGCCAUACUGCGACUGACACUGAAGCACGAAGGCGUGGGUAUCAAACA
RNAcentral lists this ribosomal RNA (207 nucleotides) under uncultured bacterium. RNAcentral's name for it is "partial 16S ribosomal RNA". It matches the Rfam family "Bacterial small subunit ribosomal RNA", at positions 568 to 774 of the family's 1533-position model. The record is from RNAcentral.